Molecule: transfer RNA, 74 nt
Filed under: subsurface metagenome
Description: tRNA-His
Rfam family: tRNA
About the family: Transfer RNA (tRNA) molecules are approximately 80 nucleotides in length. Their secondary structure includes four short double-helical elements and three loops (D, anti-codon, and T loops).
Source: RNAcentral
GUGGGUGUAGCUCAAUUGGUAGAGCAUUGGACUGUGGUUCCAAUGGUUGGGGGUUCAAGUCCCCUCACUCACCC